CAGGAUGAACGCUAGCGAUAGGCUUAACACAUGCAAGUCGAGGGGCAGCACGGUGUAGCAAUACACUGGUGGCGACCGGCGUACGGGUGCGUAACACGUAUGCAACCUACCCGCUAGUUGGGGGAUAACCCGGCGAAAGUCGGACUAAUACCCCAUAUUAUUCUUACCGGGCAUCCGGUAGGUCUGAAAGAUUUAUCGAUUGCGGAUGGGCAUGCGGAUGAUUAGCUAGUAGGUGGGGUAACGGCUCACCUAGGCGACGAUCAUUAGGGGUUCUGAGAGGAAGGUCCCCCCACACUGGAACUGAGACACGGUCCAGACUCCUACGGGAGGCAGCAGUGAGGAAUAUUGGUCAAUGGGCGCUAGCCUGAACCAGCCAAGUCGCGUGAAGGAUGACAAGAUCUAUGGUUUGUAAACUUCUUUUGCAGGGGAGUAAAGUGCGACACGUGUGUUGUAUUGCAAGUACCCUGCGAAUAAGCAUCGGCUAACUCCGUGCCAGCCGCUGC
This 503-nucleotide ribosomal RNA is filed under the name uncultured bacterium. RNAcentral describes it as "bacterial SSU rRNA". It matches the Rfam family "Bacterial small subunit ribosomal RNA", at positions 25 to 518 of the family's 1533-position model. The record is from RNAcentral.